Molecule: small nucleolar RNA, 140 nt
Filed under: Sorex araneus (European shrew)
Lineage: Eukaryota; Metazoa; Chordata; Mammalia; Eulipotyphla; Soricidae
Source: RNAcentral
AACCAAAUCGUUAAGCCUAGUUCAGGGAUCAGGGCUGCUUCCCUGUUCUGGUAAUUAAUUUUGGAACAUUAAGACAAGAUCUGGGAGAAAUGAUUGGGUAGAUGGUAUAUCUCUAUUCAUUUUCCUUCCUGCCUGCAAAA